Molecule: ribosomal RNA, 253 nt
Filed under: uncultured bacterium
Lineage: Bacteria
Description: partial 16S ribosomal RNA
Rfam family: Bacterial small subunit ribosomal RNA
Source: RNAcentral
UACGUAGGUGGCAAGCGUUGUCCGGAAUUAUUGGGCGUAAAGCGCGCGCAGGCGGUCCUUUAAGUCUGAUGUGAAAGCCCACGGCUCAACCGUGGAGGGUCAUUGGAAACUGGGGGACUUGAGUACAGGAGAGAAGAGUGGAAUUCCACGUGUAGCGGUGAAAUGCGUAGAGAUGUGGAGGAACACCAGUGGCGAAGGCGACUCUUUGGCCUGUAACUGACGCUGAGGCGCGAAAGCUAGGGGAGCAAACGGG